This 488-nucleotide ribosomal RNA is filed under the name uncultured bacterium. RNAcentral describes it as "bacterial SSU rRNA". It matches the Rfam family "Bacterial small subunit ribosomal RNA", at positions 28 to 507 of the family's 1533-position model. The record is from RNAcentral.
GAUGAACGCUAGCUACAGGCUUAACACAUGCAAGUCGAGGGGCAGCAUGAACUUAGCUUGCUAAGUUUGAUGGCGACCGGCGCACGGGUGAGUAACACGUAUCCAACCUGCCGAUGACUCGGGGAUAGCCUUUCGAAAGAAAGAUUAAUACCCGAUGGCAUAGUUCUUCCGCAUGGUGGAACUAUUAAAGAAUUUCGGUCAUCGAUGGGGAUGCGUUCCAUUAGGUUGUUGGCGGGGUAACGGCCCACCAAGCCUUCGAUGGAUAGGGGUUCUGAGAGGAAGGUCCCCCACAUUGGAACUGAGACACGGUCCAAACUCCUACGGGAGGCAGCAGUGAGGAAUAUUGGUCAAUGGACGAGAGUCUGAACCAGCCAAGUAGCGUGAAGGAUGACUGCCCUAUGGGUUGUAAACUUCUUUAUACGGGAAUAAAGUGAGGCACGUGUGCCUUUUUGUAUGUACCGUAUGAAUAAGGAUCGGCUAACUCCGUG